AGAACGAACGCUGGCGGCAGGCCUCAAACAUGCAAGUCUAGGGGGUGUAGCAAUACAUCACCGGCGGACGGGUGCGUAACACGUGGGAAUAUACCUUUUGGUUCGGAACAACGCAGGGAAACUUGCGCUAAUACCGAAUGUGCCCUUGCGGGGAAAGAUUUAUCGCCAAAGGAUUAGCCCGCGUAGGAUUAGCUAGUUGGUGAGGUAAUGGCUCACCAAGGCUCCGAUCCUUAGCUGUUCUGAGAGGAAGAUCAGCCACACUGGGACUGAGACACGGCCCAGACUCCUACGGGAGGCAGCAGUUGGGAAUCUUGGACAAGUGGGGAAACCCUGAUCCAGCCAUGCCGCGUGAGUGAUAGGACGUCCGUU
RNAcentral lists this ribosomal RNA (369 nucleotides) under uncultured soil bacterium. RNAcentral's name for it is "bacterial SSU rRNA". It matches the Rfam family "Bacterial small subunit ribosomal RNA", at positions 26 to 423 of the family's 1533-position model. The record is from RNAcentral.